UCGGUCCCUAGAGGUCUUACAGGUAUCAGAUUUGCAUCGGUAGGCUGCAGAAAGCCUAUGUUAUGCUCAGUGUUCUGACCUGUGAACAUCUGAAUGCUUUGAUUAGUGACAUAACAUU
Molecule: small nucleolar RNA, 118 nt
Filed under: Mus caroli (Ryukyu mouse)
Lineage: Eukaryota; Metazoa; Chordata; Mammalia; Rodentia; Muridae
Description: predicted gene, 24394 (MGP_CAROLIEiJ_G0036012.1)
Rfam family: Small nucleolar RNA SNORA17
About the family: snoRNA ACA 17 belongs to the H/ACA family of snoRNAs and is predicted to guide pseudouridylation of the 28S rRNA at positions U4659 and U4598.
Source: RNAcentral